AAUUCCUGUAGCGCUGUGCCGCUGCAUCUUCAACGCGCGCUCUCCUCUUCUCCAGCGCGCCAAAUCCCAUGGCUCCUCAUCUUCCCGCGGAGUUUACGCGCCAAAUCACCCUCUUAUUCCCGCGGUAUACCCAAGCCAAGUUUUCCCCCAAUCCAUAAAUCCACCGCUUGCCGCUCAGUCUCCCCGAAACUCAUCCCUAAUCCUCAGAUCUCCUCAAACCUCAAGUGAUGAGCCACAGAUCCAAGCGGGAGAUUGCUCCUCCAACGCCUCAAGCUUUGCCUCCCAGCGUUCCUUGGUGGAGCGGUGCAGUGAAGCCCGGCGUUGCCUUCCCUCCGUCUGGUGAAGCCAUGGCCGUACCUUCGGGUGGCGUUGCCUUCCCUCCGUUUGGUGAAGCCAUGGCCGUACCUCCAGGUUGGUGGAGAGCACCUCCGCUGCAGAAUAAUUCAUUUGGUUCCCCGACUCCCCGUAUGGAGCUUGGAUGGGUGCUGUACCAACACCAGAUGGCCAAGGCAGUCAAAAUACAUCCAACGAUCCAUUAGAGAGUUCACUUGGCGGAUAUGUAAGCUUUCUCCAAAAUGGCCAGACUUCACUCCCGGCACCGCAUUCUAAUCCAAUUACUCAACAAGCUGCAUCAGGUUCGAAAGGCAAAAAUGUCAUUGACAUUGAUAAUGGAGAUGAGGUUCUGAAGGAGGUUGCUGUCAGAUGGCUUUGGACGUGUUGCUUUUGUUGGAACUUCCUCAAGAAAAGCAUUUAUGGUCUGGAGAAAGCUAGCUAGUACUAGCUUGAAUGUAGUGAUAUGGAGAUCAUUUUACUUAUCGAUUAGUUGCUAUAGGCACCUUAAAGUAAUAGUUGAACUGUAUUUGCACUUCUUGCACCUGUUAAAUAUUGAGAUGUUUCAAUUAUCUAUUUUCGAUUUAGCCAUUAAUUGGUAUUGUGGCAUUUGCAAAGCU
This is a long non-coding RNA of Panicum virgatum (switchgrass), 950 nucleotides long. RefSeq lists it as uncharacterized. The record is from RefSeq and is a predicted model, not a curated record. NCBI's taxonomy places the organism in Eukaryota, Viridiplantae, Streptophyta, Magnoliopsida, Poales, Poaceae. The transcript has 4 exons.